Pelobates cultripes (western spadefoot toad) is the source of this 202-nucleotide non-coding RNA. The record is from the annotation of a GenBank genome assembly. Lineage: Eukaryota; Metazoa; Chordata; Amphibia; Anura; Pelobatidae.
CACAGAUGGCACUUACACUGACGAUAUAAUUGUUGUGAUACAUUUUACUGUUUUGAAACACUAAUAUUUGUGUUCAGCAAAGUCUCCUGAGUAUAACAGGACCCCUCAUGUUCAGGUUUUAUGGUGUUUUCAAAAGUUACAGAGUCAAAUAUAAGGCCUGCGUUUGUUUUUUCACAUUGAAAUUUGCCAGAUUGGUUAUGUU